RNAcentral lists this ribosomal RNA (921 nucleotides) under Microbacterium phyllosphaerae. RNAcentral describes it as "bacterial SSU rRNA". It matches the Rfam family "Bacterial small subunit ribosomal RNA", at positions 517 to 1436 of the family's 1533-position model. Lineage: Bacteria; Bacillati; Actinomycetota; Actinomycetes; Micrococcales; Microbacteriaceae. The record is from RNAcentral.
GCGGUAAUACGUAGGGCGCAAGCGUAUCCGGAAUUAUUGGGCGUAAAGAGCUCGUAGGCGGUUUGUCGCGUCUGCUGUGAAAUCCGGAGGCUCAACCUCCGGCCUGCAGUGGGUACGGGCAGACUAGAGUGCGGUAGGGGAGAUUGGAAUUCCUGGUGUAGCGGUGGAAUGCGCAGAUAUCAGGAGGAACACCGAUGGCGAAGGCAGAUCUCUGGGCCGUAACUGACGCUGAGGAGCGAAAGGGUGGGGAGCAAACAGGCUUAGAUACCCUGGUAGUCCACCCCGUAAACGUUGGGAACUAGUUGUGGGGUCCAUUCCACGGAUUCCGUGACGCAGCUAACGCAUUAAGUUCCCCGCCUGGGGAGUACGGCCGCAAGGCUAAAACUCAAAGGAAUUGACGGGGACCCGCACAAGCGGCGGAGCAUGCGGAUUAAUUCGAUGCAACGCGAAGAACCUUACCAAGGCUUGACAUAUACGAGAACGGGCCAGAAAUGGUCAACUCUUUGGACACUCGUAAACAGGUGGUGCAUGGUUGUCGUCAGCUCGUGUCGUGAGAUGUUGGGUUAAGUCCCGCAACGAGCGCAACCCUCGUUCUAUGUUGCCAGCACGUAAUGGUGGGAACUCAUGGGAUACUGCCGGGGUCAACUCGGAGGAAGGUGGGGAUGACGUCAAAUCAUCAUGCCCCUUAUGUCUUGGGCUUCACGCAUGCUACAAUGGCCGGUACAAAGGGCUGCAAUACCGCGAGGUGGAGCGAAUCCCAAAAAGCCGGUCCCAGUUCGGAUUGAGGUCUGCAACUCGACCUCAUGAAGUCGGAGUCGCUAGUAAUCGCAGAUCAGCAACGCUGCGGUGAAUACGUUCCCGGGUCUUGUACACACCGCCCGUCAAGUCAUGAAAGUCGGUAACACCUGAAGCCGGUKGCCU